AGGAGGAACAGCCCCAGUGGUGGGGCCAGCUCUGGAAACCUGGAUUCAGCUCCGGCAGGAACUCCGUCUGCAGGGCCUGGAGGCUCCGGGGCGGG
This is a non-coding RNA of Canis lupus familiaris (dog), 95 nucleotides long. The record is from Rfam. Lineage: Eukaryota; Metazoa; Chordata; Mammalia; Carnivora; Canidae.